GACGAACGCUGGCGGCGUGCCUAAUACAUGCAAGUCGAGCGAAGUUUUUCUGGUGCUUGCACCGGAAAAACUUAGCGGCGAACGGGUGAGUAACACGUAAAGAACCUGCCUCAUAGACUGGGACAACUAUUGGAAACGAUAGCUAAUACCGGAUAAUAGCAUUAACUGCAUGGUUGAUGUUUAAAAGUUGGUUUUGCUAACACUAUGAGAUGGCUUUGCGGUGCAUUAGCUAGUUGGUGGGGUAAAGGCCUACCAAGGCGACGAUGCAUAGCCGACCUGAGAGGAUGAUCGGCCACACUGGGACUGAGACACGGCCCAGACUCCUACGGGAGGCAGCAGUAGGGAAUCUUCCGCAAUGGGCGAAAGCCUGACGGAGCAACGCCGCGUGAGUGAAGAAGGAUUUCGGUUCGUAAAGCUCUGUUGUUAGGGAAGAAUGAUUGUGUAGUAACUAUACACAGUAGAGACGGUACCUAACCAGAAAGCCACGGCUAACUACGUG
Molecule: ribosomal RNA, 499 nt
Filed under: uncultured bacterium
Lineage: Bacteria
Description: partial 16S ribosomal RNA
Rfam family: Bacterial small subunit ribosomal RNA
Source: RNAcentral